This 496-nucleotide ribosomal RNA is filed under the name uncultured bacterium. RNAcentral's name for it is "partial 16S ribosomal RNA". It matches the Rfam family "Bacterial small subunit ribosomal RNA", at positions 29 to 507 of the family's 1533-position model. The record is from RNAcentral.
AUGAACGCUGGCGGCGUGCCUAAUACAUGCCAGUCGAGCGAACGGACGAGAAGCUUGCUUCUCUGAUGUUAGCGGCGGACGGGUGAGUAACACGUGGAUAACCUACCUAUAAGACUGGGAUAACUUCGGGAAACCGGAGCUAAUACCGGAUGAUAUUUUGAACCGCAUGGUUCAAAAGUGAAAGACGGUCUUGCUGUCACUUAUAGAUGGAUCCGCGCUGCAUUAGCUAGUUGGUAAGGUAACGGCUUACCAAGGCAACGAUGCAUAGCCGACCUGAGAGGGUGAUCGGCCACACUGGAACUGGGACACGGUCCAGACUCCUACGGGAGGCAGCAGUAGGGAAUCUUCCGCAAUGGGCGAAAGCCUGACGGAGCAACGCCGCGUGAGUGAUGAAGGUCUUCGGAUCGUAAAACUCUGUUAUUAGGGAAGAACAUAUGUGUAAGUAACUGUGCACAUCUUGACGGUACCUAAUCAGAAAGCCACGGCUAACUACGUG